This 2261-nucleotide unclassified non-coding RNA is filed under the name Hevea brasiliensis (rubber tree). Lineage: Eukaryota; Viridiplantae; Streptophyta; Magnoliopsida; Malpighiales; Euphorbiaceae. The record is from RNAcentral.
AUGCAUAAAAAAAUAUAUAUAUAUUUCCAGAAUAAUAAACAUAUUAACACUCAAGCAUUUUAUAUAUUGUAUGUUAAAAAUUGUUAAACAAUCAAAAUACACACCUGAAUAUUAAUUUUUUUCAAACUUCUUCUUUUUCUCUUUGUGGUCUGCCACUGCACCUAUCUCCUUCUUGCUCCACCCGGCUGUAAGGAUGCUCCACACCGAACAGAAAGCUCCUCCACCAAAAUGAGACAAUGGAGGAAUGAACGAGCGUUUUGGAAAAAUUUUGGUCACUACUGUUUUGAGACUGAGGACGUAAAUAAGAGCGCUGGGUGAAAUAAAGGAAGCGGGAGAAACUCUGGACGCGAAUAAAAAUAGAAUCCCGCUAGUCUGCACUCCCCCAACGGCACUGGAGAUGGGACUGGAGAUUCAGGGUGGAAAUGUACACAAGACGUUAUUUAUAUUAGCGUCCUGAUCUCUGACAACUGAUGGGAUGGGAGUAACUGCACACAGGACACUAGUUUUAUUAGCGUCCCCCGCCCUGCAUUUCGAUGGGACAAAAUAUUCCAUCUGACAACCAUUGCACGCCAUUGAUAAUGGUAUCCCGAGUCCAUUGCACGCCAUUGAUAAUGGCGUCCCGAGUCGAUUCUCUAGAAUCUCUACAGUGAAGGUAUGGAUGGUGGCAGGGAAGGCAUCAGGGCGCCAAUAUGAACAGCGUCCGGAAUUGGGACGCUAUUUUGAAUAGCAUCUUAAGCGCUGACCGAUCCACCUCAGCUCUCCUCACCCCUUAUUCGUAAUUAAUCCACAUCUUAACCCAUUUCAAUAUUUUUUUUUCUGUCACAUUACCCUUGUAUGGUCAUUCUCCCUUGCUCGCUAGUGUCCUACCCCAAAGCCAACCAACACUGCCUACCAUAAUCCUCACUCAUGCAAAUACCUCGCCACCUAUGACACCUCUCUCUCAACCUAAUCUAUCUACACCUAUCAUGAACCAAUCGUUACCACCUCAGAAUCCCAUUCCUAUCUCUAUCAUUACCCGAAGUCCAACUUCAUCUCAAUUACCCAAUAAAACAAACUUUGGACUUUCUCUUGUUAUGGAAUUAUCUACCUCUUCAACCUCUUCGCCCACCGCAUCCACUCCUUCAUCUAAUCCUAUUCAACAACCACCUACCAAUACACAUCCGAUGGUAAUAAGAAGCAAGACUGAAAGUCUCAAACCCAAAAUGUUCUCGACCACGACCUCACUUCCCUUAGUCCCAACCUAUUAUUCCAAGGCUACUCCAAAUGUCGAAUGGAGACAAGCAAUGAGUUCAGAGAUUAAUGCAUUGUUGUAGACCAAUGCUUGGACUCUGGUACCACAAGAUGAAGCUCAAAAUGUUGUGGGCUAUCGAUGGGUCUACUGCAUUAAGUAAAAAUUGGAUGGCUCUAUCGCCUGCUACAAGGCUCGUUUGGUUGUAAAAGUGUUCUAUCAAUGUCCAGGAGUGGACUACCAUGAAACCUUCUCACCUAGUUAAAGCCUAGCACUCUAUGCAUUGCCCUUUCCAUUGUUGUCACUCAUCAUUGGAUAAUAAGGCAGAUUGAUGUUUCAAAUGCAUUUCUGCAUGGGUACCUCGAUGAUGUGCUGUACAUGGAACAACCACAGGGGUUUGUAGAUCCAGAAAAACCCACUCAUGUUUGUAAGCUAAAUAGGUCCUUGUAUGGCCUCAAACAAGCCCCUCGACAGUGGUUCACUAAGCUCAAAAAAGCUCUUCUCUAGCUACAGUUACUCAAUCUCAUGCUGACACCAUAUUAUUUUAUCGUAAGCAUGGCACGUCUCAUGUUAUUUGUCUCAUCUAUGUAGACGAUAUUAUUAUUACAGGCAAUAAGUCCUUUACUGUCCAAUAAGUCAUUGUUGCUCUUCAACGACAAUUUAUGGUUAAGGAUCUUGGCGUGCUUGACUACUUUCUUAGAGUUGAAGUCCACCAUCUACCUUCCAGACUGCUUUUAACUCAAAGUAAAUAUACAAGUGACUUUCUGACAAAAGCAAACAUGUCACAAUGCAGUGGCACUGCAACACCAAUUUGUCCCAAGACCAAACUUACUCUCAACGACAGUGAGCUAGCUUCAUAACCCAACUUGUAUCGUUGCAUAAUUGGUGUUCUUCAAUAUCUUUCAUUGACUCAUCCAGAUGUCUCAUAUGCUGUGCAUCGCAUUUCUCAAUUUACAUGCGCCUACAAUGCAACAUUGGUAGCUAUCAAACGGAUAUUAUGACAUCUAAAAUCUACUCAAUCAUUUGGUACAAU